AUACGUAGGGGGCAAGCGUUGUCCGGAAUGAUUGGGCGUAAAGGGCGCGUAGGCGGCCCGGUAAGUCUGAAGUGAAAGUCCUGCUUUUAAGGUGGGAAUUGCUUUGGAUACUGUCGGGCUUGAGUGCAGGAGAGGUAAGUGGAAUUCCCAGUGUAGCGGUGAAAUGCGUAGAGAUUGGGAGGAACACCAGUGGCGAAGGCGACUUACUGGACUGUAACUGACGCUGAGGCGCGAAAGUGUGGGGAGCAAACAGGAUUAGAUACCCUGGUAGUCCACGCCGUAAACGAUGAGUGCUAAGUGUUGGGGGGUUUCCGCCCCUCAGUGCUGCAGCUAACGCAUUAAGCACUCCGCCUGGGGAGUACGGUCGCAAGACUGAAACUCAAAUGAAUUGACGGGG
This 397-nucleotide ribosomal RNA is filed under the name uncultured bacterium. RNAcentral's name for it is "partial 16S ribosomal RNA". It matches the Rfam family "Bacterial small subunit ribosomal RNA", at positions 523 to 918 of the family's 1533-position model. The record is from RNAcentral.